RNAcentral lists this ribosomal RNA (245 nucleotides) under Badhamia panicea. Its description in RNAcentral is "partial small subunit ribosomal RNA". Lineage: Eukaryota; Evosea; Eumycetozoa; Physariida; Physaraceae. The record is from RNAcentral.
AGGCUAAUACGUGGACAUAUGACUCAGUCAACCGGGUAACUGGAAGACUGGGGGUUGUGUGAGGCUUCGCUGCAACACCAACCUACGAGAAGAUGCACAAUCAGACCACCAUACCAAACAAUCCCGCUUUGCGGUCAGUACCUUCGGGGAAAGCCAAAGGGCUCGAUUGGGUGGCUCUUGCUUCGUGCUUCUGACCUAUCAACUAGAUGGCAGCGUAACGGACAUGCUAUGGAUACAACAGGUAC